GGAAGGUGUAGUGGUGGAAGAAGUGGGAGGAGAGGACAAAACCCUCCCCACCCCAAUCCCCCUGCCCCAGACUAAUGUGACCCCUGAAGGAGAAAGGGCCGAGAAAGACGGCUCCGGAGAGAUGUUCAGCGAAAGCUCCCCAAGUGGGUCAGAUAUUAUAGGGUCGGUGUCGGAAAGCACCAUGGAGACUGUGUCAGAAGGUACGGGAGAGGAGGGGGAGAUUCUGAAGGAACACCUCCCCCUACGUAAAAGAAACGCUGAAGAGCUCUCUGACCCCGAACAGGGAAAUGGGAGGAUAAGUGGCAGCACGGGCCCUCCAUUUGGAGUGGUUCCAAUUUUAACAAGAACGACGGUGUUGCCAUUUUAAUCAAGACCCCACAGGUGGUGGUGAAGGGGAGCACGGUGGUGGAUCGGGAACCAGUAUGUCCAGUGCGCGGGCUCGCUAUAGGUGAGCCCACAACGGUUUGGCGCAACGUGGCCCACCCUGCUCUCCUGAAUCGGCAUCGGGACCUGUCCUGGAUGGUCGCCCACGAGAUCCUCCCGGUCAGGGCCGUUAUGCACUCACGGGGCAUGGCGAGGACAUCCGCGUGCCCCCGACCAGGCUGCGGCCAAGAAGAGUCGGUGAGGCACAUGCUCUGGGAGUGCAGAGCCGC
Long non-coding RNA from Oncorhynchus tshawytscha (Chinook salmon), 653 nucleotides. Lineage: Eukaryota; Metazoa; Chordata; Actinopteri; Salmoniformes; Salmonidae. The record is from Ensembl.